RNAcentral lists this ribosomal RNA (424 nucleotides) under uncultured prokaryote. Its description in RNAcentral is "bacterial SSU rRNA". It matches the Rfam family "Bacterial small subunit ribosomal RNA", at positions 355 to 774 of the family's 1533-position model. The record is from RNAcentral.
UCGAGAAUCUUCGGCAAUGGGGGAAACCCUGACCGAGCGACGCCGCGUGUGAGAUGAAGGCCUUCGGGUUGUAAAUCACUGUCAGUGGGGAGGAAAUGCAGAUGGGUUCUCCCAUUUGUUUGACCUAUCCGCAGAGGAAGGACGGGCUAAGUUCGUGCCAGCAGCCGCGGUAAGACGAACCGUCCAAACGUUAUUCGGAAUCACUGGGCUUAAAGGGUGCGUAGGCGGUCCGGGAAGUUGGGUGUGAAAGUCCUCGGCUCAACCGAGGAAUUGCGUCCAAAACUGCCGGACUUGAGGGAGACAUAGGUGGGCGGAACCUAGGGUGGAGCGGUGAAAUGCGUUGAGAUCCUUGGGAACAGCAGUAGGGAAAGCGGCACACUGGGUCUCUUCUGACGCUGAUGCACGAAAGCUAGGGGAGCGAAGA